RNAcentral lists this small RNA (722 nucleotides) under Mycoplasmoides pneumoniae M129. Its description in RNAcentral is "Mycoplasma pneumoniae M129 ncRNA". The record is from RNAcentral. Lineage: Bacteria; Bacillati; Mycoplasmatota; Mycoplasmoidales; Mycoplasmoidaceae.
AUUUCCUCGAGGUUGUUAUUGAGCAAGUUUAAAGCAGUUUUACUACCAAUGCCAUUGAGUUCGAUGAACUUCGAAAACCAUUCCUUUUCCUCUAAGGUAUUGAAGGCAAAGCCCUCUUCCAAGAUCUGGUUCGUAACCAUUCUUUUAAUGAUCUGACAGAAGACCUGGCGCGGUUUUUCCAAGUUCUUUUCGAAGCUAUGGUUUUCUUUCACAUUAAACCAAUAGGAAAUACAAUUGGCUUCAACAAUAAUUUUUCGCUUACCAACAAAGGUAAUUUUUCCAAAAAUUGAAGCAAUCAUAGUCCUUAGUUUUUAAUUACCUUUCUAAUUUGCUGUUUGGCAUCAUAGUAAGACUUGGGUACUCUAAACUUAAUAUUAGUGGUACGGUAAGUCUCCAUGGCAUCACCAAUGUGGAAAAUUAAAUCCACUAGUUUUUCGUUGCCAAAGUUAUUUUUGACAGUGCAUUCUAUUAGUUGUUCAGCUUCAUUGAAACUAAACUCCCAGGGCGCUUCAUUACCAUGGUUGAGUUCAUGGUCUAGCUGUUCCUGUUCGUUUUUAAGACAGUAACUAGCUAAAUUAAUAAUGCCAAGGGCAAAUUUAAUCGAAUUGCGUAAGCGUUCAUCGAUUUCAUUGUUAUUUACUACACAAUCAUUGAGAAUUUGAGCACUCUCAUUCAACAAAUAAUUACUUUUCUUUAAUGAAAAGAGGGUUUCUUUAAAAGUA